UUGUCCUAACGUGGGAAGUUCCCCCAGGACAUAUUUUGGAAUGGAGAACAAAAUGCACGUUGCAGAACAAUAUGUAUUUUGUCAUUGUUUUAGGCAAAACCAGCCCCUCAAAACAGUGCUGCUUUAGUGUGGUAGACAUCAAUGUGAUCCUACAGACCGACGUUAGGACAAUGUGAGAGGGAACUUGAAGAGUAUGAAGACCAGGCAGCAGACAUCAUUGGACACCAUCUUGAAGGGCAACUUCUAUGGUGUGGGGCCAUUUUCCAAACUCUCACUCCCAUUGAUAAUUACCAGAUACCUACAGGGUGCCUAAAGCUAGAGUAGAAAUAAAGGAAUUAGAAACAAUGUAGAAAUUGGGAGAAUACAACACUGGUACAAUUUCCUUACCAUCGGGUGAAUGAGUCCUCAGGGAAGAAGGUAAAACGUAUACGACCACAGUUUUACACAGCAUACUAAACUCAGUAUUAGUUACCUUGUAUAAUAUUCUGAAAUCUCUCUUUGUUGAUCCAUCCAGCUGGUUUUAAUUACCCACUAUAUAAAUGAGAUAUUUCUACGUUUUCCAUCUUAUUACUCCCAAACAUGUAUGGAAAUGCCAUUAAAUUUUUACCAUUGAGGUUUAUAGUACCUGUGUUGGGUAACCAUAAUAUGUAACAUGAUGAUUAAUAAAGGUAGUAGUGGAGGCUUCCUCUGAUGAUCCUGAUCCUCCUCCAA
Molecule: long non-coding RNA, 711 nt
Organism: Felis catus (domestic cat)
Lineage: Eukaryota; Metazoa; Chordata; Mammalia; Carnivora; Felidae
Exons: 2
Source: RefSeq, a predicted model, not a curated record